GAUGAACGCUGGCGGCGUGCCUAAUACAUGCAAGUCGAGCGAACGGACUAGAAGCUUGCUUCUCUGAUGUUAGCGGCGGACGGGUGAGUAACACGUGGAUAACCUACCUAUAAGACUGGGAUAACUUCGGGAAACCGUAGCUAAUACCGGAUAAUAUUUUGAACCGCAUGGUUCAAAAGCGAAAGACGGUCUUGCUUUCACUUAUAGAUGGAUCCGCGCUGCAUUAGCUAGUUGGUAAGGUAACGGCUUACCAAGGCAACGAUGCAUAGCCGACCUGAGAGGGUGAUCGGCCACACUGGAACUGAGACACGGUCCAGACUCCUACGGGAGGCAGCAGUAGGGAAUCUUCCGCAAUGGGCGAAAGCCUGACGGAGCAACGCCGCGUGAGUGAUGAAGGUCUUCGGAUCGUAAAACUCUGUUAUUAGGGAAGAACAUAUGUGUAAGUAACUGUGCACAUCUUGACGGUACCUAAUCAGAAAGCCACGGCUAACUACGUG
Molecule: ribosomal RNA, 497 nt
Filed under: uncultured bacterium
Lineage: Bacteria
Description: partial 16S ribosomal RNA
Rfam family: Bacterial small subunit ribosomal RNA
Source: RNAcentral